CGUUUCGUUGUUGAUCCCCCGUAGUUUUUUUAUAAUAUUUCCCAACUACUACCAGCUCACAAAUAUGGUCGAACAUUGCUGUACUUACAUGGCUGACAAUAAUCCUACCUUAAUUUUACAUUCUGCGGUUCCAGACGCCAUGUGUACGUUUUAACGCCUGAUUGGAGUUCUGUAGUAGCUUCAGAAAAUUUUAAUUCUUUGCCAUUCUCUGCCUUUAUUAUGUUGCUUUCUGCUACGCCGUCGUUUUCCAUUUUAAAAUGCUUAUAAUCUCGAUUCAGAACAGACACAAAUGGAAAGCAAUAACUGUUGAUAAUGAAACACAACACACUGCAAGCAUCAUUGAUCAAGAAUUUUCAAAACAUCAUUAAAUAUUCAAAAUUUUGCAACUUUGACCGAACGUAAUAUGCAAAUCUUAUCAUUGUUUUAUAACUGAAAUAGCUCGCAACGCCAAUAUUUGGAGUACCACAUUUAAAUAAAGGUUCAUAUUUUAUUCAUAUUUGAGUGUAGCGAUUGUAAUUUAAUCGCAGAAAUCUGUCCUGACAGUUCAAAAAUCUGUCCUUGGUAGUG
Non-coding RNA from Paramuricea clavata, 567 nucleotides. The record is from the annotation of a GenBank genome assembly. Lineage: Eukaryota; Metazoa; Cnidaria; Anthozoa; Malacalcyonacea; Plexauridae.